GCAGUAGUCUAGUGUGAGGGAUUUAGGAGGGGAAACAGUGUUGCAGUAGUCUAGUGUGAGGGGUUAUGGCAGGGGAAACGGUGUUGCAGUGGUCUAGUAUGAGGGGUUAUGGCAGGGGAAACGGUGUUGCAGUAGUCUAGUGUGAGGGGUUAAGGCAGGGGAAAAGGAUUUGCAGUAGUCUAGUGUGAGGGAUUAUGGCAGGGGAAACGGUGUUGCAGUAUUCUAGUGUGAGGGAUUAUGGCAGGGGAAACGGUGUAGCAGUAGUCUAGUGUGAGGGUUUAUGGCAGGGGAAAAGGAUUUGCAGUAGUCUAGUGUGAGGGAUUAUGGCAGGGGAAACGGUGUUGCAGUAUUCUAGUGUGAGGGGUUAUGGCACGGGAAAAGGUUUUGCAGUAGUCUAGUAUGAGGGGUUAUGGCAGGGGAAACGGUUUUGCAGUAGUCUAGUGUGAGGGAUUAUGGCAGGGGAAACGGUGUGGCAGUAGUCUAGUGUGAAGGAUUAUGGCAGGGGAAACAGUGUUGCAGUAGUCUAGUAUGAGGGGUUAUGGCAGGGGAAACGGUGUUGCAGUGGUCUAGUGAGAGGAGUUAUGGCAGGGGAAACGGUGUUGCAGUGGUCUAGUGAGAGGAGUUAUGGCAGGGGAAACGGUGUUGCAGUAGUCUAGUGUGAGGGAUUAUGGCAGGGGAAACAGUGUUGCAGUAGUCUAGUGUGAGGGAUUAUGGCAGGGGAAACGGUGUUGCAGUAGUCUAGUGUGAGGGAUUAUGGCAGGGGAAACAGUGUUGCAGUAGUCUAGUGUGAGGGAUUAUGGCAGGGGAAACAGUGUUGCAGUAGUCUAGUGUGAGGGGUUAUGGCAGGGGAAACGGUGUUGCAGUGGUCUAGUAUGAGGGGUUAUGGCAGGGGAAACGGUGUUGCAGUAGUCUAGUAUGAGGGGUUAUGGCAGGGGAAACAAUGUUGCAGUAGUCUAGUGUGAGGGGUUAUGGCAGGGGAAACAAUGUUGCAGUAGUCUAGUGUGAGGGGUUAUGGCAGGGGAAACGGUGUUGCAGUAGUCUAGUGUGAGGGGUUAUGGCAGGGGAAACGGUGUUGCAGUGGUCUAGUGUGAGGGGUUAUGGCAGGGGAAACAGUGUUGCAGUGGUCUAGUAUGAGGGGUUAUGGCAGGGGAAACGGUG
This is a long non-coding RNA of Oncorhynchus tshawytscha (Chinook salmon), 1158 nucleotides long. The record is from Ensembl. Lineage: Eukaryota; Metazoa; Chordata; Actinopteri; Salmoniformes; Salmonidae.